GGAAGAAGAGUUUAUUCAGAUAGAUUUGUC
This 30-nucleotide unclassified non-coding RNA is filed under the name synthetic construct. RNAcentral describes it as "RNA (30-MER) from synthetic construct (PDB 5XWP, chain D)". The record is from RNAcentral.